UGGCAAUGAUGACUAUCUUAGGACACCUUUGGAAUCACCAUGAAACAAAUGCAAAUUCUGAGCCAC
Molecule: small nucleolar RNA, 66 nt
Organism: Anolis sagrei ordinatus
Lineage: Eukaryota; Metazoa; Chordata; Lepidosauria; Squamata; Anolidae
Product: small nucleolar RNA SNORD58
Source: RefSeq, a predicted model, not a curated record